GCCGCCACUGCCGCCACCACCGCCACCGCCGCCACCGCCACCGCCACCGUCAUCGACAUCGAAUCCUGGCCUUAUCCAUAUCCACUCACGUCUCCGGAGGGAGAGAAAUGACGUCGUCUGCAGGCGGGAUGUACAUGGCUUUCUCUCCCUCUCCUUCGGCUCCUCACUCUCCUCAUCUUCCUGGUCUCCGCUCUCCGUCCUCUGCAUCUGCUGCUGCUCUACUUGAACAAGAAAAGUAUCUCUCUGAGUUAUUGGCAGAGCGACAGAAACUUAGUCCGUUUAUGCCUGUGCUCCCUAAUAGUUAUCGCUUGCUGAACCAAGAAAUAUUGCGUGUAACCACACUAUUGGGGAAGGCAUCAGUUUUAG
This 366-nucleotide unclassified non-coding RNA is filed under the name Hevea brasiliensis (rubber tree). Lineage: Eukaryota; Viridiplantae; Streptophyta; Magnoliopsida; Malpighiales; Euphorbiaceae. The record is from RNAcentral.